RNAcentral lists this ribosomal RNA (482 nucleotides) under uncultured bacterium. RNAcentral's name for it is "partial 16S ribosomal RNA". It matches the Rfam family "Bacterial small subunit ribosomal RNA", at positions 30 to 507 of the family's 1533-position model. The record is from RNAcentral.
AUUGAACGCUGGCGGCAUGCCUUACACAUGCAAAUCGAACGGUAACGGGCCUUCGGGUGCCGACGAGUGGCGCACGGGUGAGUAAUACAUCGGAACGUGCCCGAUCGUGGGGGAUAACGAGGCGAAAGCUUUGCUAAUACCGCAUACGAUCUACGGAUGAAAGCAGGGGACCGCAAGGCCUUGCGCGGACGGAGCGGCCGAUGGCAGAUUAGGUAGUUGGUGGGAUAAAAGCUUACCAAGCCGACGAUCUGUAGCUGGUCUGAGGGGAUGAUCAGCCACACUGGGACUGAGACACGGCCCAGACUCCUACGGGAGGCAGCAGUGGGGAAUUUUGGACAAUGGGCGCAAGCCUGAUCCAGCCAUGCCGCGUGCAGGAUGAAGGCCUUCGGGUUGUAAACUGAUUUUGUACGGAACGAAAAGCCUUCUUUUAAUACAGGAGGGUCAUGACGGUACCGUAAGAAUAAGCACCGGCUAACUACGUG